AUGCAGCUUCUGAAUCUUGCUGUGCUGGACACCAGUGGCACCCCUGGACUUCAUAGGUAGGCUGGAACUUGGAUGUGCAUUGGCAGGUCUGCAUUGGCAGACCAGAUGUCACCAUACAGACAACAAUAUCCUACAGGACAGAAAAGCUUGAAAGUAAAAGAAACUUUGGUGUUUGAAUAAACCACACAUUUGUCCUGGACAACCUGCC
This 208-nucleotide long non-coding RNA is filed under the name Homo sapiens (human). RNAcentral's name for it is "HSALNT0319206". Lineage: Eukaryota; Metazoa; Chordata; Mammalia; Primates; Hominidae. The record is from RNAcentral.